This 90-nucleotide small nucleolar RNA is filed under the name Salix viminalis (osier). RNAcentral describes it as "Plant small nucleolar RNA SNOR75". It matches the Rfam family "Plant small nucleolar RNA SNOR75". Rfam says of the family: U15 is a member of the C/D class of snoRNA which contain the C (UGAUGA) and D (CUGA) box motifs. The record is from Rfam by way of RNAcentral. Lineage: Eukaryota; Viridiplantae; Streptophyta; Magnoliopsida; Malpighiales; Salicaceae.
UCUCUGUGAUGAAGAAACACAGAUGACGAGUCUGAACAUUUUCCAUUCUUUCUAAUCGUGAGGACAAUUCGAGGCAUUUGUCUGAGAGAA